CACACGCUCCCUGCCGCGCUGGCGGCAGAGGCCCUGGGCUGCCCACGUGUAGAAUUUCCCAACCUUGGUUCCUGGCAGUGCUUUUUGAUACAAAUUGGGUCCAAAUUAGAAUUGAUUUUUGUUUUUACUUUGCAUAGCUUAGCAACAUGCAAACUGAUGGUAAUUUAUGUUCAGGUGGGAGAUUGUUGUCAGAGUGCAGAUUUCGAGACGUUCCAGUGUUCCAAACCUCCUCCUGUAGACCUUCCAGAUGAAUUCCAGACGAUGAUUCCCUCUUCGAAUCAGUCGCAAAUCAUUGCCAAGUCUCGCUGAGGUGACUGUGUUGUCUGCGUUCCUUUUGCAAUAUAUGUCAGUGAUUGUGAAACGAUGCUUUGAUUGUCUUCCUGUUCUUACACUUGUUCCGUUUUCCAAUGGCCUAAGCCUGGCCUGGCGCACCUGCUCUGAGUAAGAGGAGGGUGUGUCAGUGUUGGGAUUACGGGAUAUCCAGGGAACCCGUGUUCACUCCUCCGUUGACAUGUACACAAAAGGAGGGAAGCCUGUUCUGACCGCUGGGCCGCCACUGCGCACACGCCCUCUCCUUGUCCUUCCUGCCCUUGGAGGGGAUCAGCUGCCUGAAUGGGUGUCGGGUCCACACCUGUGUGAGUCAGAGACACCGUGUGAGUGUAUUGUGCUCCGUGGGAGAAUAGCCAGGAAUCCGUGUCUUCCUUCUCUGCCGCCCACCUAGUCCCAUGGACCUCCUUCACCCACCCCUUUCCCUGGAGCCCCCACCAGUCCCUACCCGGGCUGGGAGGAGGACAGGGGAGUUUGUGACCGAGCAGAGUGGAGUAUGUGCAGAUGGGGACGUUGUGAGUGAGGUCCGCUCUCUGAGUCUGGGUGGGAACCAGGCGGCCCUGGUCUCCAUUGUGCCCACCAACAGAGCAGUGGGGUGGAGCCCACCCGUUUUGAUGCCACAUUGGGGUUCCCUUCCCAUCAUCCUCUGAGGCUCUUGUGUUAGGGCUCCCUGGAGAGCCAGCUCCUGUGCCCCUGGAGGGAGCGUGUCAGGUGUACAAGCUAAGUGGGGCCCCUCAGAAGGACCCCGAGCCCUGGAGAAGGUGGCUCUGGGAGGCCAGGCCCAUCGCCCGAAGCCAGGGAAGCCUUAACCUGUGGCCCCGUUGGCCUGGAUGGACGUCUUUCCCCCAGGAGAGCCCCUGCUGCCGGCAGUUCUCCCCUGAGCACAGGGAUCGAGGGUGGCGCAUGUGGCAGCGUCGGGGUCUGUGUGCUGCAGGCGGCCGCUUUGUGGCGGGUGCAGCAUCGGGUAGCCGGCAGGUGUUGCGGUGAGAAGAACAACAUGAGAGCCUGUGUUUUUACAGAGACCCUUGUCCUGGCGAAGGGAGGUGUGGAUUCUGGUUUCAGAAUCCAGCCACACAUUUCCAGUCUCUGCUAGCAGGGGGACACGGCGAGCGCAGAGGGAGAAGGUGGUGGGCUGGGAGGGGUCUGGGCCCCCCUUGGUGGAUGGAAAACAUUAGCUCUGCUUCUGGGGGUGUUUCUUCAGUGUGUCAGUCUCUGUCCGGCGAUGGGAGCCAGGCUGUGCGUUCUGUGGUGAUGCCCAGGAGGGACCCUGCGUGUGUGUGUGUGUGUGUGUGUGUGUGUGUGUGUCCCCAUUGUGCUCUGAGGCUCCUGCCAGCAUCACCCAUCGCCACUCGGGCUUCUCGUAGCGCAUGUGUCUUCCUGUGGGCAUCUGCACUUUAUCCUCAGUACAGAGUGUUUUCUCAAACGGAUUAAAAUACAAUGUCUUACAAGCCACAUUCCUGCCUUUCAUUCGGGAUCUGAGCUCACCACAGUGUGUUCAUUCCGUUGGUAAGACAGAGCUCGGUGGAUACUGUGAGGUCUGACUUAGGGGGUUUUUAAAGCUGUAUGAGUGGGAGGCUCGUCCUAGAGUUGUCUUUUUAGAUGCUGGCAGAGGAGACGGGUCUUUUAAAAGCAUUUCCACUGUCCAAGCCCCGUGGAGUCUGUGCUGCAGCGAGGCUUCUGCCAGCCACUGGUCAGGGUGACUGGAGCCUCAACCUGCGCCCGCCUCCGUCCCAGCCCUCCACCACGGCAGGCAGCUUCUGAUCUUCGUGUGACGGGAAGCCCAUUCGGCAGGAGCUCCUUCCUGUGGGGCACUCGCCAUGGCAGGACAUCGUGCCUGCAGGUCGGCCUCUGGAGAGCGAGGCCAGCCCUUCCCCAUGGCACCCCCCGAGCCUCCACUGCAGCCCCUGCCCUCGCGAUGGAGCUGCAGAUGUUACCAUUUAGGGAACUGGAAAGGAAUCCCCAUCUCCGUGUGGACUGGGUGAUGGUCUGAAUGUUCUAACCUUCUGGCUGUGCCCCUGCUAAUGUGGAGUUGUGAUCGGCAUGUCAAUCAGUGAUUGUAAAACUGGCCCAGCAGGUCAGAGCUGUGACCGGGAGCCCAGCCCACGCUGCCCUGGGCCUCCCAGGCGAGGAGCUUGGAUCCGGAGGCUGCUCGGGGGUGUGGCCAGCCUGGGAGCGAAGCACAGGCCCGGGCCCAUCUGUGAGGGGACGAUCUCUGUGAGAUUCAGUCAGUGGCUGCAUCGGCCCCACGGUGACCAGCCCUGCCCGCUGGGAGAGGGGGCCCGUGUCUGUAAAUGUAAAACAGCUCACCAUUGUAGAGGCCUGUCUGUGUGCUGCUCCUGUUGACUUAUGAUUCUCCACAAAUAAAUAUUUUCAUG
Pipistrellus kuhlii (Kuhl's pipistrelle) is the source of this 2702-nucleotide long non-coding RNA. RefSeq lists it as uncharacterized. The transcript is spliced from 2 exons. NCBI's taxonomy places the organism in Eukaryota, Metazoa, Chordata, Mammalia, Chiroptera, Vespertilionidae. The record is from RefSeq and is a predicted model, not a curated record.